RNAcentral lists this long non-coding RNA (870 nucleotides) under Malus domestica (apple). RNAcentral describes it as "long non-coding RNA (MDOM_LNC010484)". The record is from RNAcentral. Lineage: Eukaryota; Viridiplantae; Streptophyta; Magnoliopsida; Rosales; Rosaceae.
GAAGCCAGCGUCAAUUUCAGGGAACCUUCCGAACAAAAUUGCAUCAAAUUACUUUUCUAAAGAUCCUAAUGGUGAUCAGGCAUUAAGACAAUUAGAUAGUUUUUAUCCCGAUGAUUAACAAUUCAAAGUAUGCAUGCAAUCAAUCAUAAGCAAUUAGAUAAAAAUCACAUAUUCAUGCUAAGGCUCAAGGCUUCGCCCUAGCAAUAGAAAUUAGUUCCGCAUAUUCAUAAUUGAAAUCAUAGAAAUAUCUCAAAAAAAGGAUUGAAAGCACCUUCAAGUAAAAAGUCUUCAAAACCCUAACAAUUCUCUCUGUCUCCAAAAUUGCAUAAAAGAAAGCGUAAUCUAAAACUGUAGACGGCUAAGCAAUAUAUUUGCCAAGCCACCCCAAAACCCUAGAAAACAUAACCCUAAAUUAAAUGAUAAAAAUUCGUCUAAAAUCUGAACAGCCACGUUUUGACCCAUAAGCUACUCCAAAACUGGCCCAAUAUAGCUGGAUUUAAUGUUUGGAAUAUUCUGAACACUUUUCCAGAAGGCCACGAACCCAUCCGAGGUCAUCUUGGGCUCUAAAAACGCAAUUUAAGCCCAAAAACGUCAUUUUCCAGCACUGCGCACUGCUUCUUUAUUUUAUCGCCAGAAAAUAAUCGCUUGGUGGAAAAAUCCCAAAUUUUGAUACGAUCAAGCUAAGUGACUAACGAACGUCCUCCAACUGGAAUUACUCCAAAAUUCGUCCAUUUGGUCCUGUUUUGCUCCAGAGGAAGUUGAAAAUCCUAUAUUGAAAAUACAAUUCAAAGUAUCAAAAUUCUUCCAAUAUAUUAACCAAAAUACACUAAGAUUAGGGUAAAAUAUAUAAUAUAAAAUCUACUCAUCAAA